GACGAACGCUGGCGGCGUGCCUAAUACAUGCAAGUCGAACGCAGUGGGGACGGGUGAGUAACACGUGGGUAACCUCCCAUCAGAGGGGAUAACCCUUGGCAACAGGUGCUAAACCGAUACUGAUGGAUGGACCCGCGGUGCAUUAGCUAGGCGGUGGGGUAACGGCUCACCAAGGCCACGAUGCAUAGCCGACCGGAGAGGGUGAACGGCCACACUGGGACGGAGACACGGCCCAGACUCCUACGGGAGGCAGCAGGAGGGAAUCUUCGGCAAUGGACGAAAGUCUGACCGAGCAACGCCGCGUGAGUGAAGAAGGUUUUCGGAUCGUAAAACUAUGUUGUUAGAGAAGCGGUAUCUAACCAGAAAGCCACGGCUAACUACGUGCCAGCAGCCGCGGUAAUUC
This 403-nucleotide ribosomal RNA is filed under the name uncultured bacterium. Its description in RNAcentral is "partial 16S ribosomal RNA". It matches the Rfam family "Bacterial small subunit ribosomal RNA", at positions 28 to 526 of the family's 1533-position model. The record is from RNAcentral.